Molecule: long non-coding RNA, 1017 nt
Filed under: Anas platyrhynchos platyrhynchos (common mallard)
Lineage: Eukaryota; Metazoa; Chordata; Aves; Anseriformes; Anatidae
Description: lncRNA (ENSAPLG00000023481.1)
Source: RNAcentral
AUGGGACACACGGGACAGGGCACUGCUGGCACCGGGCACCUUCCCAUCCUCACCUGGGCACCAGCAUCACCUCUCUGGCUGGUCCCACAGCCCAGAGGUGUGAUUUGGGGGGGGCUCCAAGAGAAACAGUGCUGGAGGGAGCCCAUAGAGGCCGGUUGGGUGGCACAGCAGGGAUGGAGGUGGUGGCUGUUGCAACACGGUUGGGGCCCGUGCGUAAAUAGAGGGUGCUUUGUUCCUGUUGUGCCAUGGCCAGGUGGCCACAAGGGACACGGGCUCGUGAGUCACCCACCUGUGAGUCACCCUCUCCGUGUCCCUCACGUGGCACGGGGGAAAUGCCAACCCAGCCCGGGGCGUGGGGAACAAAACCUGUCCCGUGGGGGUGCUGGGGGCACAGUGGGUUGUAUGCAGAGGGAAUGUGCAGCGUGGCACGGAGCCUUUCUUGCCGGGUGUCACCUUCAGAGCAUCUUCAGGACAAGUGUCACCAUCAGAGCAUCACCAGGCCACGUGCCACUGUCCGGUCAUCACCGUCCCGAUGGCGAUGAGGACCAGGAGAUGGGCACACGCUGCCUGGGGCAGGACACCCCCGUGCCACCGGUGUUCCCCAUCCUCCAGGCUCGUUUCUUGCAGGCUCGGUACCAGCCUUCUGCAGCACCUGGGGUCGCUGCCAGCACCGGGCACUUCUUGCCCUCCUCAGCAUCCUCCCGGCACUCCGGGGAGCCCCGGGGGAGCCCCCGCCGCAGCCCCGCAGCCUGGAAGCGGCUUCCUCCGGGGGGCACCGGGGAGGCACCGGGAACGGUCCCGGCUCUCCGGCUGCCGGUAGCCGCACCGGGCCGUGCCGGGCCGUGCCGGGGGCGGUGGCAGAGCUGCUCCCCGCCCCGUCGGGGCCGUGCUGAGGCCGGGGGCGGGCCGGAGGGGCCGGCCGGGAGCCGACGUCAGGCCCCGCGGCGGCGGCGGGGGGCGGAAGGCGGAGGAGGAGGAGGAGGAGGAGGAGGAGGAGGAGGAGGUGAAGAAGGCUGA